RNAcentral lists this ribosomal RNA (252 nucleotides) under uncultured bacterium. Its description in RNAcentral is "partial 16S ribosomal RNA". It matches the Rfam family "Bacterial small subunit ribosomal RNA", at positions 57 to 305 of the family's 1533-position model. The record is from RNAcentral.
GCAAGUCGAGGGGUAACAGGACGGAUCUAUUCGAAUCUGACGACCGGCGCACGGGUGCGUAACGCGUAUGUAACCUGCCUUAUACAGAGGGAUAGCCCCGAGAAAUUGGGAUUAACACCUCAUGGUAUUACUGAUUCGCAUGAAUUAGUAAUUAAAACUCCGGUGGUAUAAGAUGGGCAUGCGUAUGAUUAGCUAGAUGGAGAGGUAACGGCUCCCCAUGGCACGAUCAUUAGGGGUCCUGAGAGGGUGAUC